UUGGAGCGGUGCACUGGAGAAAAAGAUGCGAGCGAAGCCAUUUGGUCCGUUAUGUCCAGAAGUUAAAACCCGAGCAAGGACAAUCUUUGCUGAGUCUUGUUGGGGUCCAUGAUCUUGUGACGCU
Molecule: long non-coding RNA, 124 nt
Organism: Etheostoma spectabile (orangethroat darter)
Lineage: Eukaryota; Metazoa; Chordata; Actinopteri; Perciformes; Percidae
Exons: 3
Source: RefSeq, a predicted model, not a curated record